UGCGGUCCUCGGUAGUGGCGGCCGGAGUGCUGUGUGUGAACACGCAUCUCCGACCGCUUCGAUCGAAGGCCGUA
Williamsia sterculiae is the source of this 74-nucleotide regulatory RNA element. It matches the Rfam family "Actino-pnp RNA". The record is from Rfam. Lineage: Bacteria; Bacillati; Actinomycetota; Actinomycetes; Mycobacteriales; Nocardiaceae.